GCACUCGCGGGCUGUGUAGCUAGCACAUACACACACAUACUUUCUCUCUCUACGCGAGUAUAGUAACUCGAAACGCACGCGAGGCACAUACACACAGAGACUAUCUCCCGAAAUCGGUGAAUGUACAUUGUAGAGUGUGACUCGGUGAAGGAAAAGUCGUCCGGCUCGUCCAGCAAUCUCCAACUUUGAAGGCAGCGGAGUAUAUACGUCUACCAUAUUCAGCGAAGAGCAACCGCCAUGGCGACCUUCGUCACGUUUCUGCCACUAGUGCUCGGCCUUUUAGUUGUCUGCACAGCCGUAGAACAGAAGCUAGUCUACAAACGAAGUGUGAAUCCGGCCGCACUGUCGCUCAUGAAGAGACCGUUCUGCAACGCGUUCCCGGCUGCGAGUCGCUAACAACAGCGAG
Long non-coding RNA from Priapulus caudatus, 406 nucleotides. RefSeq lists it as uncharacterized. The record is from RefSeq and is a predicted model, not a curated record. Lineage: Eukaryota; Metazoa; Priapulida; Priapulimorpha; Priapulimorphida; Priapulidae. The transcript is spliced from 3 exons.